UGGGGAAUUUUGGACAAUGGGCGAAAGCCUGAUCCAGCAAUGCCGCGUGUGUGAAGAAGGCCUUCGGGUUGUAAAGCACUUUUGUCCGGAAAGAAAUCCUUGGCUCUAAUACAGUCGGGGGAUGACGGUACCGGAAGAAUAAGCACCGGCUAACUACGUGCCAGCAGCCGCGGUAAUACGUAGGGUGCAAGCGUUAAUCGGAAUUACUGGGCGUAAAGCGUGCGCAGGCGGUUUGCUAAGACCGAUGUGAAAUCCCCGGGCUCAACCUGGGAACUGCAUUGGUGACUGGCAGGCUAGAGUAUGGCAGAGGGGGGUAGAAUUCCACGUGUAGCAGUGAAAUGCGUAGAGAUGUGGAGGAAUACCGAUGGCGAAGGCAGCCCCCUGGGCCAAUACUGACGCUCAUGCACGAAAGCGUGGGGAGCAAACAGGAUUAGAUACCCUGGUAGUCCACGCCCUAAACGAUGUCAACUAGUUGUGGGGAUUCAUUCUUAGUAACGUAGCUAACGCGUGAAGUUGACCGCCUGGGGAGUACGGUCGCAAGAUUAAAACUCAAAUGAAUUGAC
Molecule: ribosomal RNA, 563 nt
Filed under: uncultured bacterium
Lineage: Bacteria
Description: partial 16S ribosomal RNA
Rfam family: Bacterial small subunit ribosomal RNA
Source: RNAcentral